UACGUAGGGUGCAAGCGUUAAUCGGAAUUACUGGGCGUAAAGGGCUCGUAGGCGGCCCUCUCAGUCGGAUGUGAAAUCCCCAGGCUUAACCUGGGAACUGCAUCCGAUACUGGAUGGCUUGAAUCCGGGAGAGGGAUGCAGAAUUCCAGGUGUAGCGGUGAAAUGCGUAGAUAUCUGGAGGAAUACCGGUGGCGAAGGCGGCAUCCUGGACCGGCAUUGACGCUGAUGAGCGAAAGCUAGGGGAGCAAACGGG
This 253-nucleotide ribosomal RNA is filed under the name uncultured bacterium. RNAcentral's name for it is "partial 16S ribosomal RNA". It matches the Rfam family "Bacterial small subunit ribosomal RNA", at positions 524 to 776 of the family's 1533-position model. The record is from RNAcentral.